Molecule: transfer RNA, 92 nt
Filed under: Hypoxylon fuscum
Lineage: Eukaryota; Fungi; Ascomycota; Sordariomycetes; Xylariales; Hypoxylaceae
Description: tRNA-Pro
Rfam family: tRNA
About the family: Transfer RNA (tRNA) molecules are approximately 80 nucleotides in length. Their secondary structure includes four short double-helical elements and three loops (D, anti-codon, and T loops).
Source: RNAcentral
GGUCUCGUGGUCUAGUGGUAUGAUACUCGCUUAGGGUCACACCUUAACGCACCGCAUGCGAGUGGUCCCGGGUUCGAGUCCCGGCGAGACCC